RNAcentral lists this unclassified non-coding RNA (825 nucleotides) under Hevea brasiliensis (rubber tree). The record is from RNAcentral. Lineage: Eukaryota; Viridiplantae; Streptophyta; Magnoliopsida; Malpighiales; Euphorbiaceae.
GAAGCAGUAGCAGCAGCUGCCUUCCUAUGAGACUCAACUGCAGCCUGAUCCUGCUCCUGUCUAGUCACUCCAAAACGAUGUGCAACAUUUUCUGAAGUAACACCCAUGGGCAAAAGGCAAUUUUGGGCUUGCUCAAAGGCCUUUACUUUUGGAUUCACAUCUCCAUCCCAAGCCAUUGGAUUACUCGUCAUGGAUUCCAAACCAGCUCCAAUGCCAAUGUCAUAAAACCCUGCUUUGAUAGCUGCAGCUACAUCAGCAACUGCCUGAAGCCCAGACGAACAUUGCCUGUUAACAGUCCUAAUAGGCACAGUUUCAGGAAAACCGGCAUAGAAUGCAGCCAUCCUGCAUUCACUUGCUCUUUGAGAUCCCGGUGCCAACACUGUGCCCACAACAAUAUCCCCUACUUCACUUGGGUUCAAAUUUGUUUUCUCUAUCACUGCCUUCAAAACAGGAGCAAGUAAAUCAUCAGCAUGAGUAUCCUUGAAACCACCACGCUUUGACUUGCACAACGGAGUUCGAUAUGCUGCUACAAUCACAACAUCAUCUCCAUACACCGAAGUCCUAUGAUACGCGGCGCUAUCCCCAGCCAAGCACGCCGAUGCUGAGAGGGAGGACUCAUAAUUGUGCGAAGACGAUGAAGAAGGACGGAGGUGAUCGAGAAGAACUCGCUGCCUAUUGAUCGCUUUCUCCAUUAUUUUACGAGACGAUGAAGCAAGAAAGCAAGCAAGAGAAGAGAGGUCGAUUCGGCUCGGCUUCGAUGACCAAAUGGAGGAGAGUUGAGGUUGCCUUUAUGGCUUGGCGGUUAGAUUGAUAAUAAUACACGGG